GUUUGAUCCUGGCUCACGAUGAACGCUAGCGGCAGGCCUAAUACAUGCAAGUCGAACGGUGUCUUCGGACAUAGUGGCGCACGGGUGCGUAACACGUAUGCAACCUACCUUACAUUGGGGGAUAGCCUUUCGAAAGGGAGAUUAAUACCGCAUAAGACAGUAGCUGGGCAUCCAGCAGCUGUUAAAGAUUUAUCGAUGUAAGAUGGGCAUGCGACCAAUUAGUUAGUUGGCGAGGUAACGGCUCACCAAGACUAUGAUUGGUAGGGGAACUGAGAGGUCAAUCCCCCACACUGGCACUGAGAUACGGGCCAGACUCCUACGGGAGGCAGCAGUAGGGAAUAUUGGGCAAUGGACGCAAGUCUGACCCAGCCAUGCCGCGUGCAGGAUGAAGGCGUUAUGCGUCGUAAACUGCUUUUAUACAGGAAGAAACGACUCUUGCGAGAGGCAUUGACGGUACUGUAUGAAUAAGCACCGGCUAACUCCGUGCCAGCAGCCGCGGUAAUACGGAGGGUGCAAGCGUUGUCCGGAUUUAUUGGGUUUAAAGGGUGCGCAGGUGGUUUAUUAAGUCAGUGGUGAAAGACGGUCGCUCAACGAUUGCAGUGCCAUUGAAACUAGUAGACUUGAGUAAAGUAGAGGUGGGCGGAAUUGAUAGUGUAGCGGUGAAAUGCAUAGAUAUUAUCAAGAACUCCAAUUGCGUAGGCAGCUCACUUGGCUUUUACUGACACUCAUGCACCAAAGUGUGGGUAUCAAACAGGAUUAGAUACCCUGGUAGUCCACACUGUAAACGAUGAUAACUAGGUGUCGGCCGAAUCUGGUCGGUGCCACAGCGAAAGCGUUAAGUUAUCCACCUGGGGAGUACGCCGGCAACGGUGAAACUCAAGGAUUGACGGGGUCCGCACAAGCGGUGGAGCAUGUGGUUUAAU
This 923-nucleotide ribosomal RNA is filed under the name uncultured bacterium. Its description in RNAcentral is "bacterial SSU rRNA". It matches the Rfam family "Bacterial small subunit ribosomal RNA", at positions 11 to 950 of the family's 1533-position model. The record is from RNAcentral.